Molecule: long non-coding RNA, 1002 nt
Organism: Tachysurus fulvidraco (yellow catfish)
Lineage: Eukaryota; Metazoa; Chordata; Actinopteri; Siluriformes; Bagridae
Exons: 3
Source: RefSeq, a predicted model, not a curated record
CCUAUACCAGGGGACUCUGGGCACAAGGUGUGGGGACGCCCUGACUGGAGUGCUAACUGAUAGCAAGGCAAAAUUGGCAAGAAGAAUCCAAAGCCCCAAAACAAAGGGAUAACAUACAACGUCCAAUGACACAGGACAGAAAUGGGAAUAGCCAGAGCUAUUCCUAUCACUGAAACUUUCAGUUUAACUGACCCUGUUUCCAGAGGCUUGGCUUGUCAUACAGUUAAACCAGAUGUACAGGUGGCAAAAGUGAUUCAGGAGGAGGUGCCACAGUGGCAUCAAUGCCCUCCAGAGGCGAGGGCUGAGUAGGCUGGCUGAUAAAUACUGCAAGCAGAGCAGAGCACAGUGUGAGACUAGAAUUUAUUCAUUUUUUAUUAGUAGUUUGUUAUUUAUUUAAUUCCAUUGUUAUAACUGGUAAAAUGCACGUGCCAGGCUUUCGGAUUAAAAUGUUAUUCUGUAUGAGCAGAAGUAUAAGAGGAGAUCCAUUCGUCCCCACAUGCUAGGCUUGGGCUUCAUUGUACCUGCACCUAAGCUCAGAGACUUUGGAAACCAAUGGAUCUUUAAGCAGGAGGAACUGUGAGGUACAUGUAGAUACGAUCCCUGUAACUGCACUGUAAUCUCGUAUUGUUUAUUAGGUCAUAAUUUGUGGAUUGUAAGUACUGUAAAUAAAUUUGCUCUGUGAUUUCUCUUAUUAAUAAAAUUACACAUGAAAUGAAAAGAUGUAUGAUAUAUCCGUAGCUGUUUAGUUUAACACUCUAACAUGGCUACCAUUUGUUUCUAGCAGUUAAAUAGAAAAUUAGUUCAAAAUAAGACAUAAUUGUACCUAAAUAUAAAGGUUAUGAAUUCAUAAUUUAUAAAAUCAUUCAUGUUUAUUUUAAUCUGCUUCUUCUGUAUUUAUACUUAACCCAUAUGUUUGAAACCAUGGCAAAGUCUAAAUUCAUAAUAACACACAGAUCUAACCUUUUCAUUUCUCUUCAUUCCCUUUUAAACUUUUAAAUAUUC